This 865-nucleotide ribosomal RNA is filed under the name uncultured soil bacterium. RNAcentral describes it as "bacterial SSU rRNA". It matches the Rfam family "Bacterial small subunit ribosomal RNA", at positions 60 to 929 of the family's 1533-position model. The record is from RNAcentral.
AGUCGAACGAAUCCCAUCUGGGUAACUGGGUGGGGGAAGUGGCGAAAGGGGCAGUAAGGCGUGGGCAACCUACCCCGGGGAUCGGGAUAGCCGUCCUAACGGACGGAUAAUACCGGGCGAUCUGGCGAGGAGGCAUCUUCUGGCCAGGAAAUGAAUUUCGCCUCGGGAGGGGCUCACGUAGUAUUAGCUUGUUGGCGGGGUAACGGCCCACCAAGGCCAAGAUGCUUAGCGGGUGUGAGAGCACGACCCGCGCCACUGGCACUGAGACACUGGCCAGACUCCUACGGGAGGCUGCAGUCGAGGAUCUUCGGCAAUGGGCGCAAGCCUGACCGAGCGACGCCGCGUGUGCGAUGAAGGCCUUCGGGUUGUAAAGCACUGUCGAGGGGGAGAAAAGCCCGCAAGGGUCUGAUCUAUCCCUGGAGGAAGCACGGGCUAAGUUCGUGCCAGCAGCCGCGGUAAGACGAACCGUGCGAACGUUGUUCGGAUUCACUGGGCUUAAAGGGCGCGUAGGCGGACGGUCAAGUCGGGGGUGAAAUCUUUCAGCUUAACUGGAAACGUGCCUUCGAUACUGAUCGUCUCGAGGGAGGUAGGGGCAUGCGGAACUUCCGGUGGAGCGGUGAAAUGCGUAGAUAUCGGAAGGAACGCCGGUGGCGAAAGCGGCGUGCUGGACCUCUUCUGACGCUGAGGCGCGAAAGCCAGGGGAGCGAACGGGAUUAGAUACCCCGGUAGUCCUGGCCCUAAACGAUGGGUACUAGAUUGUGGACUUAACAUGGGUUCCCAAUCGAAGCUAAAGUGUUAAGUACCCCGCCUGGGGAGUAUGGUCGCAAGGCUGAAACUCAAAGGAAUUGACGGGGGCUCACACAAG